This 427-nucleotide ribosomal RNA is filed under the name uncultured bacterium. RNAcentral describes it as "bacterial SSU rRNA". It matches the Rfam family "Bacterial small subunit ribosomal RNA", at positions 354 to 796 of the family's 1533-position model. The record is from RNAcentral.
GUGAGGAAUAUUGCGCAAUGGGGGAAACCCUGACGCAGCGACGCCGCGUGGGCGACGAAGGCCUUCGGGUCGUAAAGCCCUUUUGGCAGGGACGAGUGAGGACGGUACCUGCCGAAUAAGUCUCGGCUAACUACGUGCCAGCAGCCGCGGUAAAACGUAGGAGGCGAGCGUUAUCCGGAUUCACUGGGCGUAAAGCGCGCGUAGGCGGUUGGGUAAGUCGGACGUGAAAGCCCCUGGCUCAACUGGGGGAGGCCGUUCGAUACUGCCCGGCUUGAGGGUGAGAGAGGGAAGUGGAAUUCCCGGUGUAGCGGUGGAAUGCGUAGAGAUCGGGAGGAACACCAGUGGCGAAAGCGGCUUCCUGGCUCACUCCUGACGCUGAGAGCGCGAAAGCGUGGGGAGCAAACGGGAUUAGAAACCCUAGUAGUCC